Molecule: long non-coding RNA, 5417 nt
Organism: Rhinopithecus roxellana (golden snub-nosed monkey)
Lineage: Eukaryota; Metazoa; Chordata; Mammalia; Primates; Cercopithecidae
Exons: 3
Source: RefSeq, a predicted model, not a curated record
GUAUGCACAGUAAGGCACCAGGACAGAUCUAGACUGGCAAAGAAGUGGUGAAAGAAAUGGGGAAAGGGUUAGGGAAGAAUGGAGAGGACUCUAAACUACAGUCAUAGUGAGACCUUGAGUGCCUCUGGGUUAGUCCUUCGUCUCCCUCUACUCCUUGUGUCUCAGCUGAAGGGCAAACUUCAGGGACGAUCUCACUGUGUUUCAACCACUGUUCAGGGUCCCACCUUGCGACCCUCUCCUGAGAGGUUGUCCACAACUCUGUCCCACCCCCGUCUCCAUCUUCUUCCGCCAGAUCUGGGGCAGGGGGAUUGCAGAGGGGAAAGAGGAAACAUAGUGGCUGGCAGGAUAGGGAGGGAUGCGUGUCCAGGUGAGGAAGAGGUGUGACGUGAAGGUGGGAUGCCCGCCACUAUGACGCAGCCGAGACCCACGGUGACUGCGUCAGAGCUUCACCCGGGGAGGUGAGCAGCAGCGGGACGGGGGAACGGCGGGGUAGCCAAGCAACGCCGGACGCGCUGACGUCGCCGGGGCGGCAAAACGUCCGCCCGGGCCCGAGGCGGGCGGAGGCAGCUGUGGUUACGUGCGGGGGGCCGGUGACGCAGUCGCGGGGCGCUGGGACGCGGCUUGCGGAGCCGGCCGGCGGGGGCAGGCCCCAGGCUCGGGCGCGGCGGCGGGACAGCACCUACCUUCCCGGCUUCGGGUCCGGGAGUGCGGGGCGCGGAGCCGCCGGAGCGCUGCCUCCCUCCUUCCUCCUCCCCUCGCCCCCGCCCCGCGGCGCGACACACAAUACUCGCCGGAAGCGGAAGCCGCGCCGAGGCUCGUGUCAGUUGAAGCUGGGGUGUCGGCGGGCGGCAGCGGCCGGGUCUAGCGGUGACUGCGGGAGGAGGAGGAGGAGGGCUGGCGAUGAAAACCAGCAGGAGGAAUCAAGGACAAGAAGGGACCCAGAGGGGCAGGUGGCUGAUAUGCUGGCGUCCAGGUGACCCGAGGAAUCCUCUGGAGAUAGAGGCCUGCGCAUGCGCGUGCUCGAGCGCUGAAGCCCAUGGCCCGCAGGGCGCUGGACGGGCGCCCCGGCCGGCGAGGCUGUCCCGUCCAGACUCCAGGCCCCGGCUCUGGCCAGGCGCCGCCGCUCCCCGGUGCAGCUGAAAGUCGACGAAGAGGGCGGGGCGAGGGCGGCUUGUGGACUUCCACACUUUUCCUCUCUUCGGGCCAGUCCGGGGAGAGGGUGGCUAGCUGUGGCGGCGGCCAAUUACGUGGCGGACCUGCGGGGCUCAGCUGGCACGUCACUUCCGACUAGUGGAGUUUUAGACUUUUAACAUUCAAGGAUUAGAGCUCCCUCUUUGCCCACUAGCAGGGCAAUAGCUGGUGCUGAAAACAGUGGCUGCUUGGCGAGCCUGGAUCUCCAAGUGACUCCAAGUGACCCCCUCAGCAACUCCUGAUGAACAGGACUGAAACCAAUAAUAAGGCAAGUCAACCAAAGGUUCUGUGGUAUAGACAAGACAACAAAAGGACAGACUACUUGUGGAACCUAGCAUUGUUUUUCUGCAGCACUAAGUAACAUUUGUGCUCCAUAAGAUCUUUGCAAACCACACACAGGAAUUGCUGGUCAUCCUGCCAAUAGAUGCUGCUCACAGAACCAAAUUUCCUGUGCUGGAUUGUCACUCAUGGGCUUGAGAGUAGGAGACUGGAGACCAAGGUGGCUAGAAUCCAGUUGGGCCUGACGUCUCCCUGUUGAAAGAGCUCCUUGUGGAAUGGACAGCACAUGGCUCCCGUGGUGGAUCUGAUAGUGGUACAGCACCAAGUGAUGCAGGCCUGCCCCGGGCCACGGCCACAGAAGAUGCUCCCAGGGUCCCCCGAGUACUCUAGACACACUGCAGGCCACCUCUCCCAGCAGGUUCCUAGUCAUGGGCCCUAUCAUCAUGACUUCUGUCCAAGGUGUGCUCAGAAAUCUCUUCCUUAACACCUGUGACUUUCUGACAGGUGGAGGAUGUGGUCAGGAAUGGGAAAAGGAUUCAAGACAGGAAGAGGAAGGGGUUCAGGAUGAAGAGAGAUAAUCUGUGCCACAGAUGCUGGCCCUGCAGUUACCUCCCACCUAGUCCAUGCACACACAUUCUAAUCCCCUCCCAUUGCUCUACAUGCUGCGGCCAGAGAGGCCUUUCUCAAAGUGGAAGUCUCAUCCUCACUUCUCUGGUUACAGUGCUGGGCCGUGGAUGACUUACAAGUCUUAGCAGGAAUUGUCUGCGCACUCCCCGCUCCUGCCUGCUACCUUGUUUCCCUCCAGUCGCGAGAGCAAACAUUGAUUGAGCCUUAACAAUGUACCAGGCUUGUCCUAAGUCCUUCAUAUGUAUUCACUCAAACAAUCCUCACAACAUUCCUGUCACAUCUCCUGUUUCACAGUGAGGGUUCUAAAGCACGCAGUAGGUGAGGAACUUGUCCAGGGUCACACAACUAAGUGGGGGUGGAGAAACAUCAAAUCUAGGUGGUACAGGUGGUGGCCAGAACCCAUCAGCACCUCACUACAGCUGCCUCCAGCUUCUCCCUCUAGAAAAUACUCCUCCCUAUCAACUCCUGUUGUCCUCUGGGCUCAGUUGACAUGUCAUCUCCUCAAGGAGGACAUCCUGAGAUGCUCCCCCGACUAGGGUGGGCACCCACUUCCACACUCCAAAUGCAUGUCUGUUUGACCUGUGUAUUGCUGCAUCCCCACUGCAUGGCAGAUAGCAGGCCCCUAAUAAGUAUGAUUUGAGCAAAUAAAUAUAGUUAUUCAAAAAAUAGGGAGGACUUCUUGUUUCUAGUAAUGGUGGGCUAGGACAUUUGGACCAACCCUCCUGCAGAAAAUAGCCAUUUAUUUUGAUGCAAUAUACCUGGCUACAACUACAGAGAUUUCAGAUAUUUGGAGGGCUAUUAUGUGAAGAUUUAUACUCUUGGUGACAUAGAGGUUAGAAAUUGGUUGUUUCCAUAGAGUAUGAGAGACACAGAAUUGUGCUCAUCAUAAGGAUCUUUUUUAAAAAUUAGACUUAAUAAAAUGGGCUGCUUUGGUAGGUGGUGAGUUCUCUGUCACGAAAGAGAUUCAGCCACUUGCUCUGAGAAAGCAUGGAGAAUACUGACAUCGUAAGGGUCGACCACCUCAUCUCUGAGGCCCCCUCCUCGCUUAGGUUGCCUUUGUACGUGGAACACUGGGCUGAGUGUCAAAGAACUUGGGUUCCACAAGCUGUGCGAUCAUGGCUGGUUAUUUUUGGACCUAUUCCUAAUAUCUGUUAGUUAAGCUGACCCAUCAGUACUGACCCACUUCACAGAGUUAUGAAGGGAUUAAAUUUGGUAUUACAUAUAAAUUUUUGUUUUGUUUGCUUUUUGUUGUUCUUUUUUUGUUUUGCUUUUUUCUUUGCAUUAUGAAAUCCCAAGUCAACUUUUUCCAUUCUUUUAUUUCUUAAAAAAUUGACAUCAUCAUUAUAACAACAAAAUAAUUUUAAAAAUAAAAUAAAAACCCUGCAACCCCUCAAUCUAGUACAAUAAUCAUACUUUUUUCUCUCUAUUCUCUUUUAUUGUGACCAAGGAUGACUUUGGGCAUUGAUGGGAGGAACUAUUUCAUUUAACUCCCUGCUAUCUGAACAUGAUUCACACUUGGCCUUUCACCACCCCCCAAGUAGCUACACAUGAUAUGAUAAUAGUAUUGGUGGUGGUUUUAGAGACUUGGAGAGAAAACUGAAGUUGGAUUUGGGUAAACGAAAAAAGAAUGGGAAUUAUGUUUUCUCCAUUCUAAAGCCCAUAGAGCAAUAUUAAUUGUUCCCACCCCUCUGCUAUUCUGUCUCCUCAGGUACUGUGUGCAGAAAUGUGAUUGAGUUUCAAGUCAGGGCCUCUGCCCUUUUCCUUCCAGAAACAAAACCAAGAUAAUUUAUCCUGAACACACACAGUGAAAAAAGGAAGGAAGGGAGUGGGGAGAAAAAGUCCAGGUCUUACCUGGGAUUCUCUGUCUCCUGCAACAUGAAGGGUUUAGCCUGGGAGGAGGUGGUGAGAACUCUGGGAGAGAUAAAAGAAGGAAAGAAUAGUUUUACCCAUGCUGAAGUUAAACCUUCACCUAGAGAAGCAAACAAACAAACAAACAAAACACUGUUCCAUUUUGUGCCUCCCUUCCUAGAGUUUUAGCCAAAGGUUUAACUAAGUAAUUGGUUUUACCAGGGCACUCACUCCUCUUAUCCCGAGUCUGUUUGCCUCCCUCCCCAUCCUCCUCCUCACCUCUUUCAGGCAGGGUGGGGAUAGCAGCCGGAGGAGAUUCUGGGAUCCUGGCAACUCCUGUAAGGACCGCAGGACAGCCCCUCUGUGGGGAUGCGUGGUGCCCCAUCUGCUGUCCUUCUGAGAAUAAGAAUGCACUGCCUUCACUUUACUGUGUUAGAGUCCAUCCAGACAGUUCUAUCCAAAGAAUAGUUUCUUUUUUCCCCAACAGGCAAUCAGGAAAUGAUUCCUUUCUGGACUACUUCUGUCUAGUGCCUGGGAAUCUUGAGUCAAUCCCUCACUAAGUCAGUGACUAAGUGAGCCUCUCUGAGCCUCCUAGUUCAUGUUGCUUAGGGAACCUGAUAUUUUCAUGAAAUCUGCCUACACAUGGGCAGCCCAACAACAGAGCUAAUGGUGGUGACCAAAGUGAACAAAGAAGUAUAGUUGUGUCAGUUUCCUAGUUGCCCAUGUGGACAAGUCAGCAGGAUCAGGACACGAGGAAGAGUAAAUGUGAGACAGUCAUGUGACUUCUGCGAUAAUAUUCUAGAUUUUUAAACCCCAAAAUUUUGCUAAAAUUUUGGUGAAACCCUGAACUUUCUUCGUUGCAUAUACUGGCCCUAUCUGUACCAUCAUACAACUAUCUCACAUUAAAGCUAUUUUUCUUGAGCACUGAUGAGUAAGGUUGGUAUGUUUGAGUUCCUCAGAUCAGCAAAAACCCAUUUUCCUGUAAGUCUUAUGUUUAGUAUUUAAGGAACUAAAACUUAAAUACAUUGUGUGAAAUGGUUGACACUUCACUGAUAAUGAUUUAUUGCUUGGAUUAAUAAAUUUUCUAAAAGUUGUCUUACUAUGUAGAAUAUGGUUUGCAACCAGCGGAACCAUUAAUCUAUACUGUGAUAAUAUGCACUAUGUAUAAUUGUUUAAAAGUUUCUACUUAAUGAUGUAACAUGCUGUAUUUAAUUACACAUUUGGCUAAACUGUAUACUAACAUCUGAUGGCAUUUUUCCAGUGUGUUGCUUUUUUCAAAUACUUUAUUGUACAAAGCUGUUCUUAAUAUUUUUCAAGUUUUUCUCUUUGAAUUUUGCUAAUGUUUUCCUUGAAUUAUGAGCACUGACAGAAUGUGCUUAGCACUUUUGGCUAUUCACACAGCUUUUGAGCAUGAUUUGCAUCCAGUAUUGACAUUGCUAGCAAUAAUAAGCCAUCUGUGAGUUUUGUCAAAA